This 276-nucleotide long non-coding RNA is filed under the name Vitis vinifera (wine grape). Its description in RNAcentral is "long non-coding RNA (VVIN_LNC001211)". The record is from RNAcentral. Lineage: Eukaryota; Viridiplantae; Streptophyta; Magnoliopsida; Vitales; Vitaceae.
CCCAUGCCUUCAUCCUGAGCCCAAGGAGGGGGUUCACUUGAAUCUGGCCGAGCCCAAGAGGGGAUUGUUUCUUCAGACUUGUUUGACUUGGCAGAGCCUUCAGUUGUGGCCGACACAGAAAACUUAUGAGAUAAAUUUCCCUUUUGGCGUCCAGGAUGGGUUCUGUUUCUUUUUCUGGUGACUGAUAGGUCCAGGAUUUUAUGGCCAACACCUGGAAAUAAUUUUGGGUGCCAUGGACUCUCUUUUCUUGAACUAUGGAUUAAAUUUGUGUCACAG